CUCUCUGUGGAAAACAACAGGCGGGCGGGCCCCUCCGCCGACCCCGCCGCCGUUGCCGUAGCCGAAGGCACCGCGGGCGCCGCCAGCCCCGGAGCCCCCGCAGCAGCAGCAGACGAGCCCCCAGAUGCCUACGGCCAGGCAGCCCAGCGCGAGCAGAGAGCCCAGGACGAUGCCGAUGAUCACGCCUAUACGCCGGGAGUCUGUGGAGAGAAGUGGAGGCAGGUCAGGCUUUCUCACAGCCUGCUCCAGGCCAAGAGAACAACAGCUCAUUCCUGAGAUAAGGAUCCUGCUGCCAUCUGCCAGAUCCUGAGGCUGCUCAAGGCAAGCCAGGGAUGAGCCAGAACUCGGCUGAGAGCAGAGGCUCCACCCUGGAGAAGCACCGCUGGAAGCACCCACACAGGAAGGACUCUCUCCAUGCCAUAGGAGCCUGCCAGGCAGGAUGGUUUUAUAAAGGUCUGGUCCAGGAGACUACUGGGGUUCCCCCUGUGACCCCAGAGAGAGAGAAGAAAGAGAUUGGGAGAGAUAGUGAUGAGUUAAGGGGCAAAGACAGAGACAGGGACAGAGGCAGACAGAAAGACACAUGGUCUAAAUGGCCCCUCCAGAGACUCAGAGGGAUACAGAGGAGGCAGAGGGCCCAGGCCACGAGCUGGGAACCAAUACAAAUUUCCAAAAGGGCCCCUUGCUUUUUCCUAAGAAAUCCAUGACUCUCCAGGGAAGAAUGGCCCUGCUUUGACUGGUAUUUGCUUCUAUUCUAAGACAGUAACAGAAAAUCAAAGACUGGCUUAGAAAGGAGUAAACAGGGAGAUACAGGAGGUAGGAAGAGGCUGGACAAAAACUCAGAGAAGGCCACAGAUUGCUUACCAGAUGAAGUGCAGCCCAGCCCCAGAACCUUUCUGGGAAGGACGGACAGAGGGCUUGGGCUGCCUACUCUUCCUCCAAAGCCUAUUCUUCCUCCAAAGUCCCUUUCAUGGCAACUCCACCCCACUCCUCUAAGCCCUGCCCUCCCCUGCCUGUACUUGCCCACCCCAACCCCUCUCAGUGGCCGCCAGACUCCCUGGGCUCAGGCUCAAUCAAGCUCCCCACAACCCCUGCCUUGGCUGGCACUGCAAUUUGACUCAUUCUAAACUCCUCCCCACACAGUCAGCAAGCUCCUCAGCCCCCUCUCCCAAGUCCCCAUGUAGCCCAGGGCUCACCCUGCAGCACCCAGGGAGGAGCUGUCCUGCAGAGGAAACCUCUGAGGUAAGACUCUGGGAGCAGAAGCUGUGAGUGACAAUGGAUAGGCAAAGAGUCACAGAGAAGCCAAGGAGCCUUGCAGCUGCUGUCUGUCCACCCAGCUUUCAGUGAUGAUUUGGAGGUGGAGGUCUGCCAGGACUAGAUGGCUCCAAGAAGGAACCCUUCCUCCCUUCCUCUGGCUCCAGGAGUGGCUGCAGGGCUCUAGCCACAUCUGGCCACUUGAUGCCACGGCUGACCAGACAUGCUCAGUAAGGGGCCGCAGUCCGACACAGCUCCCGGGGUGUGUGCUAGAUGUGCCUCUCCAGCUUGUGACACAGGAAAACUGCUGCAGAGUGAGAGUCUUCUAAAUGGAUUAAGAAGCCUAUCUCAAUCCCUCUGGAGAGUCCUCUUCAAUUCACAAUGAAGAUGUUGAAGAGCAGGGACAGACAUCAACACUCCUCUCCCCACCUUCCCCACUGGCAGAGGCAUUCAGGUCACUACUAGUGUCUCUCUUUCUCUUUUCCCCUUCUCUUAAUCUCUCACUGCCCUUCUCUCCAUGUCAUAUUCUCUUUUUCUCCUUCCCUCUCUUCCUUCUUACCUACUAAACUCCAUAUGUACCAAAAUCAGUCAAAGCUCUACUAUCUAGCUCUCUUUAUCUAGACUAAAGGAGUUGUCCACCUCUUGGUCUAGAUAACACUUGCAAAUAAAGACCUGCUCGUUUCCCAAAGCUAAGUAAUUGUUUUAGUUGAGCAACUGGGAAAGGAGGAUGGUUUUGUGUUGUACUCUGAUGCUAUUAUCCUUGGAUGGAGCGGGGAAGAUGUUGCUAUUGUCUGCAAGCUUAGCCCAUCAGCCCUGCAAUGUUUCCAUCAUGGAGCUCAACUGAGCAACUAUUGCACUCUCUGCAGCUGAGCCUCCCUUUUGACAUUAUAACAGAUUUUAAACACUGUGAAGACAUGAGAGAUUCUAGGGUGGAAGAAGCUAGGUGUCCCUGUUUACAUAGGCCCCACUAGAUCCCAAAGCUCUGCAGCUCAGGUCUCAGAAUUCCCCUUUGUCUUCAGUCUGAGAGUUACCUACGAGAGCAAGGUUACUCAGCAGAAGCUUUGCCCUGAGCUACAUUUUUGGGCCUCUGCCUGCAGGUGGCAUCAACUUGAAAGGACUUGUUGAGGAUUACCUUGAUAUCUCCAAAGAGGCUCUCAUCCACCUCAGAGCUCACGGCUUUGGUCCGAUAGCGAGCCUUAUUCCUUGACCUGUUGGAAGCGGCAGAAGAGGAGCUCAGGAUGCCAGCUGUGCUUAGUGGCUGCAGGAAGAGGCAGAAAGUUUGGGUCAUCAGUACUGAGUGGCAUCCAGACCCUGGGAAGUCAACAAUUCACCAGCCCAUGCUGGGGGAGUGGGUGGGCAUGUGAAAAAGAAACAGUUAGGGAAAGCGGCUGUGUAAACUCUGAACCAUAGGGGACAAGGAGCAACAGAUGGAGGGCAUCCCCACAGAGCAGGGAAGGGUCUCUGCAAAAAAAAGAGCUCUGCAUAAAGCAGCAUUUGUGUAAAACAGUUGAUCUCAUAGAAGUACAGAGUAGAAUGGUGGUUACCAGAGGCUGAAGAGAGGAAGGGGAGGGGCAUGGGGAGAGGUUGGUCAGUGAGUGCGCAGUUACAGUUAGAUAGGAGGAAUAAGUUCUGGUGCUCUAUUGCACAGAAAGGCCACUAUAGUUAAUAAUAAUGUACUGUAUAUCUCAAAAGAGAUACACAAUAUCUAGGAGAGGAUUUUGAGAAAUAUAAAUGUUAUAAGAUUAAAUGAGAUGGCAAGGUCUAGUAUUU
RNAcentral lists this long non-coding RNA (3021 nucleotides) under Homo sapiens (human). RNAcentral describes it as "HSALNT0296121". The record is from RNAcentral. Lineage: Eukaryota; Metazoa; Chordata; Mammalia; Primates; Hominidae.